This 620-nucleotide ribosomal RNA is filed under the name Bacillus cereus. RNAcentral describes it as "bacterial SSU rRNA". It matches the Rfam family "Bacterial small subunit ribosomal RNA", at positions 72 to 675 of the family's 1533-position model. The record is from RNAcentral. Lineage: Bacteria; Bacillati; Bacillota; Bacilli; Caryophanales; Bacillaceae. RNAcentral also lists the same sequence under 1 other name.
UUAAGAGCUUGCUCUUAUGAAGUUAGCGGCGGACGGGUGAGUAACACGUGGGUAACCUGCCCAUAAGACUGGGAUAACUCCGGGAAACCGGGGCUAAUACCGGAUAACAUUUUGAACCGCAUGGUUCGAAAUUGAAAGGCGGCUUCGGCUGUCACUUAUGGAUGGACCCGCGUCGCAUUAGCUAGUUGGUGAGGUAACGGCUCACCAAGGCAACGAUGCGUAGCCGACCUGAGAGGGUGAUCGGCCACACUGGGACUGAGACACGGCCCAGACUCCUACGGGAGGCAGCAGUAGGGAAUCUUCCGCAAUGGACGAAAGUCUGACGGAGCAACGCCGCGUGAGUGAUGAAGGCUUUCGGGUCGUAAAACUCUGUUGUUAGGGAAGAACAAGUGCUAGUUGAAUAAGCUGGCACCUUGACGGUACCUAACCAGAAAGCCACGGCUAACUACGUGCCAGCAGCCGCGGUAAUACGUAGGUGGCAAGCGUUAUCCGGAAUUAUUGGGCGUAAAGCGCGCGCAGGUGGUUUCUUAAGUCUGAUGUGAAAGCCCACGGCUCAACCGUGGAGGGUCAUUGGAAACUGGGAGACUUGAGUGCAGAAGAGGAAAGUGGAAUUCCAUGUG